Long non-coding RNA from Clupea harengus (Atlantic herring), 692 nucleotides. Lineage: Eukaryota; Metazoa; Chordata; Actinopteri; Clupeiformes; Clupeidae. The record is from Ensembl.
ACACAGAGGCACACUACAACUCUCAUUCUCCGUAUAUGUAUAUCAACACAGAGGCACACCACAACUCUCACUCUCCGUAUAUGUAUAUCAACACAGAGGCACACUACAACUCUCACUCUCUCCGUAUAUGUGUAUCAACACAGAGGCACACCACAACUCUCACUCUCCGUAUAUGUAUAUCAACACAGAGGCACACUACAACUCUCUCUCUCCAGUGGCUGUAUGUGGUAUAUGUGUAUCAACACAGAGGCACACUACAACUCUCUCACUCUCCGUAUAUGUGUAUCAACACAGAGGCACACUAGAACUCUCACUCUCCGUAUAUGUAUAUCAGCACAGAGGCACACUACAACUCUCUCUCUCCAGUGGCUGUAUGUGGUAUAUGUGUAUCAACACAGAGGCACACUACAACUCUCACUCUCCGUAUAUGUGUAUCAACACAGAGGCACACUACAACUCUCACUCUCUCCGUAUAUGUAUAUGCAACACAGAGGCACACUACAACUCUCUCUCUCCAGUGGCUGUAUGUGGUAUAUGUCUGCAGGCUUAAAGGACUGCGCCUUUGUGUAUUAGGAUCACAACAUUAACAAAAUUAACAACAUUAACAACUUGCUUCUCCCAAAAAAUACUCUCAAUGAUGAAUGUCAAUGUGGGAAUGUUGAAAACCUCUCAAUGAUGAAUGUAAAUGUGGG